This 486-nucleotide ribosomal RNA is filed under the name uncultured bacterium. RNAcentral's name for it is "partial 16S ribosomal RNA". It matches the Rfam family "Bacterial small subunit ribosomal RNA", at positions 28 to 523 of the family's 1533-position model. The record is from RNAcentral.
GACGAACGCUGGCGGCGUGCUUAACACAUGCAAGUCGAACGAUGAAGCCCAGCUUGCUGGGUGGAUUAGUGGCGAACGGGUGAGUAACACGUGAGUAACCUGCCCUUGACUCUGGGAUAAGCGCUGGAAACGGCGUCUAAUACCGGAUACGACCUGCCCCGGCAUCGGGUGCGGGUGGAAAGUUUUUCGGUCAAGGAUGGACUCGCGGCCUAUCAGCUAGUUGGUGAGGUAAUGGCUCACCAAGGCGACGACGGGUCGCCGGCCUGAGAGGGUGACCGGCCACACUGGGACGGAGACACGGCCCAGACUCCUACGGGAGGAAGCAGUGGGGAAUAUUGCACAAUGGGCGAAAGCCUGAUGCAGCAACGCCGCGUGGGGGAUGACGGCCUUCGGGUUGUAAACCUCUUUUAGUAGGGAGGAAGGGCUUCGGCUUGACGGUACCUGCAGAAAAAGCACCGGCUAACUACGUGCCAGCCGCCGCAGUAA